Small nucleolar RNA from Dioscorea cayenensis subsp. rotundata (Guinea yam), 107 nucleotides. The record is from RefSeq and is a predicted model, not a curated record. NCBI's taxonomy places the organism in Eukaryota, Viridiplantae, Streptophyta, Magnoliopsida, Dioscoreales, Dioscoreaceae.
AUUCCAUGUUUUGGACAUUUUUUCAACAUCUCCUUGUAUCUCUCUCAAGUAUCAUAUAAGGAUUCUGAUUCCAAUUGUAGGAAAGAGGAGAUAUCACUCCUCAACUU